This is an RNA transcript of Canis lupus familiaris (dog), 2623 nucleotides long. RefSeq lists it as uncharacterized. Lineage: Eukaryota; Metazoa; Chordata; Mammalia; Carnivora; Canidae. The record is from RefSeq and is a predicted model, not a curated record. The transcript is spliced from 9 exons.
CUGCGCUCGAGCGCGGUCCCCCGGGCUGACGGCCAGCCCUGCGGAUGGACGGGCCGUGUGCCCUGUCGCCCUGCGCCUGCUGAACUCCGAGCACCCGAGGAUGUCUGCGCUGAGGAAGGUCUGUAUGAGCUGUUGGCUGUUGUGCAGGCCGGCUGGGGCCACGUGUGGACAGCCAGGAAGACCUGACCUUCCUCUGGGAUAUGUUUGGUGAGAAAAGCCUGCAUUCACCGGUAAAGAAGUUACUCGUCGAGCACCAUUUUCCUUUAGAUCUUCACAAUAUCCUGGGUAGCCUUAUGUUGUGAGGUGGAAGUCUCUACUCUUCUGUGGCUGCUGUGGCCAAGACUUUGAAUACUGUGUUAGCAUCCUCGCCUUGUUCCUGAUGUUAAGCAGGAAGCUUUUCCCUGUUGAGCAUGAUGCUAGCUGUGCACUGGUUAUACGUGGCCUUACAUUUUGAGAUUUUAUUUAUUUAGUCGUGAGAGAGGCAGACACACAGGCAGAGGGAGAAGCAGGCUCCAAGCAGGGAGCCCAACAAGGGACUUGAUCCCAGGACCUCGACCCAGGCCACCUGCGUCUUCUUGAAUGGCAUUUUUAGUAAGCAAAGAAUGCUAGUAGUGCUAAGUUGCCAGUGGAAACUGCCCAUGGGCCACAUGAGAGACCACGGAUCCUGUAAUGCUGGGAGGCAUAAAGCUGGCACAGAAGUGCUGCAGAGAGGCUGUCACCAGUUAGAGGGAAGGAGCCAGAGAAGCAAGAGGUGUGGCAACAGCCAAGGGUCUUCAAAGGUAGAUGGACUGUGCACUCCCUUCCUGAAUGGGAGACCAGCAGAGAGACCUUGGGGGCACGCCCUGCCCAGCCCUGCCCAGCCUCGCCCAGGCUCCAGCCGGAGGCUCCGCCCCAGGCCAUGGCCUUCCACUUACUCACGUGACCAUGCCACAGGCAUGCAGAGAGGCAGGCUGAGCUCUGCCAGGCCAGCAGGGUCCGUGCCAGGCCUGGUGGACUUCGAGGACAAGGAGCAGGUGAAGGCCUUUCUGGAGAACGUGGUGGAGUGCAAGUACCAGUGCUACUGUGAGAAGGACCCGAAUGAUUCAUGAAAAGCUCUACUACUAUGAGAAGUAGAACCCUGUGCCCAUCCUCCACAGCACAGCAGUCUUGGCUGAUGAUGUAAGUGUGCCUUUCGGAGCUCCCUGCCACCCGGCUCCCUUGGGCCCGGUCCUGAGCAGAGCUCUUCCUGGCGCAGACACAAGUGUGAGAUCCUGGGAGUGAAAACCAGAAGCCGCUGCAAAUGUUUCCAAAAGUCCUGUCACCGAGGACCUUAUGCGGAUACUGUGCUGAUUUGCAUUCACUCUCCUGCUCAAAAAAUUGUGCGUGGGGAUGUCCUCUGUUCUACCUGGGUGGCUACAGUAGCAGAAGUCUGAGGCUAGAACUCUCUGGGCAGAGAGAAACUGUCAGCUACUAGUGUUCUGAGAAAGGCACAGGCAGGAGGAAUGCUUUGGAGAAAUAAAGACAAAUCAGCUAGGUCUGUUGCUGACAGUGCUAAAAACUGACAGAUACGCUAGUGUCGGAACGAGGCCUGAUGAAAUACAUAAAAAGACAGGAUUGUUUUCAAAAUGAAGUAUAAAGCAUCAUAAUGAUUUAUGGAUAUUAGACCUUUCCACAUUACCUUCAUAACCAAAGAAUAAGUGACAGAAGCAGUUAGCAUUGAUGGAGUAAUUUCCUGUAGCUAUCAUUUUAUUUUCAAUCUUGGAAUGAAUUACCUUGCUGUUCCUUGCCGUUCACUUUCAAACUCAGAUGAAUUGAAAGCACACCUGGAUAAACUGUAAAGGACACUGAGGCAGAGGAGAAAUAGGUCUCCUGUGAAGGUCUGUAUGAGCUGUUGGCUGUUCUGCCAGUCCAGCUGGGGCCACGUGUGGACAGCCAGGAAGACCUGACCUUCCUCUGGGAUAUGUUUGGUGAGAAAAGCCUGCAUUCACUGGUAAAGGUAAAAACCAUGCUGAUGUCAGAUUCUCUUGGUGGGAAAACAUGGAAAAACAUUUUGAGUGCUGUCUCAUAAACCAGAGAUCAAAUUGUUGCCUUCUGCAAGGCAGAACAAAUCAGCCUUGUUCCGUGAUGAGCAUGGAAGUUGUUAAAGAUUUUACCAAAAAUACCUAGAUGAUUUCCCUUAAUGGUGGUGAUCUGGCUGUGUGCACUAAUGAAGCCAACGUAUGCCUGCCCUUGUUUAGAAGAAGAAUAUGAAAUAAUAGCAGGAAGGUAUAGGCUCCUUAUGGACAACAUUCAUGAGCUGGAAUUUAGCUUGAGUAAUGAAUGGUCACAACAAAAAUUAGAAGGAAUAUAUUUUCUGAGGUUAAGGAUGGCAGCAGUUCAUAGCCACAUUAAUUUAAAAUAAUUACCUUUCCACACCAAUCUUAAGAUAAUUCGUUCCAACUCUCUGAAGAAAGUCCAUGGUAUUUUGAUAGGGAUUGCAUUAAAUGUGUAAAUUGCCCUGGGUAACAUUGACAUUUUCACUAUAUUAAUUCUUCCAAUCCAUGACCAUGGAGUAUUUUUCCAUCUCUUUAUGUCUUCCUCAAUUUCUUUCAGAAGUGUUCCCUAGUUUUUAGGUUGGUUCGUUUAUUCCUAGGUAUCUUAGGCU